GAAAUGCGAUAAGUAAUGUGAAUUGCAGAAUUCAGUGAAUCAUCGAAUCUUUGAACGCACCUUGCGCUCCUUGGUAUUCCUUGGAGCAUGCCUGUUUGAGUAUCAUGAAAUCUUCAAAGUAAAUCUUUUGUUAACUCAAUUGGUUUCUACUUUGGUAUUGGAGGUCUUUGCAGCUUCACACCUGCUACUCUUUGUUCAUUAGCUGGAUCUCAGUGUUAUGCUUGGUUCCACUCGGCGUGAUAAGUUAUCUAUCGCUGAGGACACUGUAAAAGGUGGCCAAGGUAAAUGCAGAUGAACCGCUUCUAAUAGUCCAUUGACUUGGACAAUACUUUUAUGAUCUGAUCUCAAAUCAGGUAGGACUACCCGCUGAACUUAAGC
RNAcentral lists this unclassified non-coding RNA (378 nucleotides) under plant metagenome. RNAcentral's name for it is "partial contains 5.8S ribosomal RNA, internal transcribed spacer 2, and large subunit ribosomal RNA". The stretch from base 1 to 105 matches the Rfam family "5.8S ribosomal RNA", at positions 50 to 154 of the family's 154-position model. The record is from RNAcentral.